This 572-nucleotide ribosomal RNA is filed under the name Hanseniaspora uvarum. Its description in RNAcentral is "partial large subunit ribosomal RNA". It matches the Rfam family "Eukaryotic large subunit ribosomal RNA", at positions 67 to 655 of the family's 3401-position model. Lineage: Eukaryota; Fungi; Ascomycota; Saccharomycetes; Saccharomycodales; Saccharomycodaceae. The record is from RNAcentral.
ACCUGGGAUCCUUAGUAACGGCGAGUGAAGCGGUAAAAGCUCAAAUUUGAAAUCUGGUACUUUCAGUGCCCGAGUUGUAAUUUGUAGAAUUUGUCUUUGAUUAGGUCCUUGUCUAUGUUCCUUGGAACAGGACGUCAUAGAGGGUGAGAAUCCCGUUUGGCGAGGAUACCUUUUCUCUGUAAGACUUUUUCGAAGAGUCGAGUUGUUUGGGAAUGCAGCUCAAAGUGGGUGGUAAAUUCCAUCUAAAGCUAAAUAUUGGCGAGAGACCGAUAGCGAACAAGUACAGUGAUGGAAAGAUGAAAAGAACUUUGAAAAGAGAGUGAAAAAGUACGUGAAAUUGUUGAAAGGGAAGGGCAUUUGAUCAGACAUGGUGUUUUUUGCAUGCACUCGCCUCUCGUGGGCUUGGGCCUCUCAAAAAUUUCACUGGGCCAACAUCAAUUCUGGCAGCAGGAUAAAUCAUUAAGAAUGUAGCUACUUCGGUAGUGUUAUAGCUUUUUGGAAUACUGUUAGCCGGGAUUGAGGACUGCGCUUCGGCAAGGAUGUUGGCAUAAUGGUUAAAUGCCGCCCGUCUU